Long non-coding RNA from Actinia tenebrosa (Australian red waratah sea anemone), 613 nucleotides. NCBI's taxonomy places the organism in Eukaryota, Metazoa, Cnidaria, Anthozoa, Actiniaria, Actiniidae. The record is from RefSeq and is a predicted model, not a curated record.
GUGCACGCCAGAAGACAGAAAUGUAUAUGAAUAUGGAUACAACUCAAACAAAGAUUCUUAUUCUCAAGAGAAUGACACGUGGUCCUCAAAGGAAAAGAACAUUACGUCCAAGUCCACCAAGAGGCACAGCCGAGCGCAUUCCCAAUGGUGGAACAGCACGAGGUAUCCCAUACAGGUAUGAAAACGGCGAGAAUCGCUUGGUUGCCCAGGAUUCGGCGACUCCUGUAACAUUCACCGGCUCAACAUACUGAGCACACUGCUGCACAUGCGUGAACCUCAUGUCUGAUGUGACAAGUGAAGGACCAUUACGGAACUGAAGCUGGUCGAGUUGUUCACUAAGGGGAAUAUCUGAAGUCAGUUGGUGCUCGCAGUCAGUCCCGUCACACAUAAAAGAAUAGCUUGGAGAUAGUGAUGUACCUCGAACAGUUGUCCAAGAUGAUUCCAUCGACUUAAAAUAAAGGGAAUAUUAUACGACAUCACAUGAUGGAAAAGGAAGCUAAUGAGCUGUGAAAGAAAAGUGGAUUCAUCCUACUCACCUGGUAAGAGUACGAGUACAGCGAAAACAAAUAUAAAAAUGAGUCGACAUUGUCUACGCAUUUUGCUUCAAUUUUUU